AAGGCACUAGUAAAGCUAUUACUCCGCCUUGUCAAGGCGGAAUCGUGGGUUAAACCCCCACGUGCCUUG
RNAcentral lists this transfer RNA (69 nucleotides) under Pellona ditchela (Indian pellona). RNAcentral describes it as "tRNA-Asp". It matches the Rfam family "tRNA". From Rfam's summary of the family: Transfer RNA (tRNA) molecules are approximately 80 nucleotides in length. Their secondary structure includes four short double-helical elements and three loops (D, anti-codon, and T loops). Lineage: Eukaryota; Metazoa; Chordata; Actinopteri; Clupeiformes; Pristigasteridae. The record is from RNAcentral.